ACAGCCUGAGGUGCCACCAAAGCCAUGAGCCCGGGGGAGUCUCUCACACCCCAUUCUCCUAGGGCCCAUGCACCCCACGCCCACCUCCACCCCAGAAGCCGAAGGCCGGCAGGGCGCCUGGAGAGCCUCCUUGAUGGGAGAACUGCGGAGCUUGCCCCUCGGAAAAGUGCGUGACGUGGAGCACAGGGAAGGAGAAAAAAACAACUGGGUACUCGCAGCCCCACCGCGGUGUCCCCUUCGCCGGUGGGAGAGGCUCCUGGCCGAUCUGAAUCCUUGAAAUCCUUGCUGAGCAUGUGCUCUGUACAGGCCAUGUACUAAGUGCUAGAGAGAUGGUGUGGGGUAGAUAACAGCUUCCAAAGAUGUUCACGUCCUGAUCCACAGAUCCUAUAUGUGAGUGGAAAAAAGGCACAAAUUGAAAACGUUUUUUAUCUGCUCUCACAUCACAACAAUCAACACAGAAGACUUCUGUGCCCACAUAUGUGAGGAUUUCUCUCACCAGCAAACAAGCAAUCUGUUCUGCAGUGGACACCAGUUGGGUGUCCUCCGAUUCAGUUCUGACACUCUCUACCUAAAGACCGCGUCCGAUCCCAGAGGUUGAGAGCUCAGUCUCACAGACUGCCCCUUGACUUCCACCGCCAAUCGCAAGCCCCUGGUUGUUUUACCUGUGCUUCUGACCAAGCAGGACAUCGUGACCUCCAGUGUGCAUUCUACCUAACAGAGCUGCUAAACUCAUUGCCUUUCUGCUCUGCCUCUCCUCUCUCCUGCAACACCCUCUCUGUCUCAUAAAUAUAGUCACAAUUUUCUCAUGGUUUAAGCCAAGAAACAGUUACAAACUCUAAAGUCUUUUAUCCAAUGCAUUAAAAAACUGAGAUACUAAAUUAGAUAAGUUGUUAUCUGGUAGAACUCACAAAAGAAUCAAAUGUUCUUGACAAAAUUUAGAACAAAAUUUGACCCUGGAAAAUGGAGGUGAUAGAAAUGAAGUCCACAAAAGGAAACUUGCCACGGCAGCAGCUAUCAUUGGUGAAAUUUGAUAUUGACAAAAAUUGAUCUAUGAACCACAGUUCUGAUAUAAAAUUUAAGUGAAAAAGAAUUGGUCCCAAUGAAAAUAAUUUCAGUCCAUUGGAAAUGAAAAAGUGGAAAAAUUGGAAAUAGUUUAACUGAGCUUUUUACAGAAUUGAUCAAGCAAUUAAAUUGACUUAAUGGAGUCCAUUCUGGAAAACCCUUUCUCAAGGAAAAUUCAUCAAAGACAGAGAACUUCUGAGUUACAUAUUUGUAUUGAAAAUAUCUCCAUAGGCUGGGUGCAGUGGCUCACGCGUGUAAUCCCAGCACUUUGGCAGGCUGAGGCAGGUGGAUCACUUGAGGUCAGGAGUUCGAGACCAGCUUGGCCAACAUGGUGAAACCACCGUCUCUACUAAAAAUACAAAAAUUAGCCUGGCCUGGUGGCAGACGCCUGUAAUCUCAGCUAUUUGGGAAGCAGGGGAAUCGCUUGAACCCGGAAGGUGGAGGUUGCAGUGAGCCGAGAUCACGCCACUGCACUCCAGCCUGGGUGAAAGAGCGAGACUUGUCAACAACAACAACAAAAAACAAUAUCUCCAUAGAUAUUUCGUAGUAAAAAUGAAAAAAAGACAGAGAGAAAAAUGUCUCCAGUGGAUCCUCCAUGAGAUUUUCAUGAAGAACCCAGGAGUGUUGGUCUGUGGUGGGAGCUUCACCCGGGAGGAGUAGAGAGGGCUGGGAGGGGGUGAUGGCUGGUACUUUGGGCCCCUCUCCAUAAAAAUAUAGAAAAAAUUAGAUUAUAUGUCUGCAUAGGUAUACAAAUGAAUACAAUCCAGGCUGGAUUCCUUAUUUUAGAUUCAUUGUUAUUAUGUUCUUUUAUUCUUCUGAUUAUAAAAUAAAUUAAAAUUAAACAUU
RNAcentral lists this non-coding RNA (1908 nucleotides) under Pongo abelii (Sumatran orangutan). The record is from RNAcentral. Lineage: Eukaryota; Metazoa; Chordata; Mammalia; Primates; Hominidae.